UGCGUAGAGAUGUGGAGGAACACCGAUGGCGAAGGCAGCCCCCUGGGCCAACACUGACGCUCAUGCACGAAAGCGUGGGGAGCAAACAGGAUUAGAUACCCUGGUAGUCCACGCCCUAAACGAUGUCAACUGGUUGUUGGGUCUUCAUUGACUUGGUAACGNAGCUAACGCGUGAAGUUGACCGCCUGGGGAGUACGGUCGCAAGAUUAAAACUCAAAGGAAUUGACGGGGACCCGCACAAGCGGUGGAUGAUGUGGAUUAAUUCGAUGCAACGCGAAAAACCUUACCUACCCUUGACAUGUCCGGAAUCCUGCAGAGAGGUGGGGGUGCCCGAAA
Molecule: ribosomal RNA, 336 nt
Filed under: uncultured beta proteobacterium
Lineage: Bacteria; Pseudomonadati; Pseudomonadota; Betaproteobacteria
Description: bacterial SSU rRNA
Rfam family: Bacterial small subunit ribosomal RNA
Source: RNAcentral